UUAACUGACAACAGCUCCUGACUGGCCAGAGUUCCAAGGGAGGCAGUUGGAGUGAGAGUUGGUGUUAGAGACCCAUGGGGGUCUGAGAGGGAGAAAUCGGAGGAUGGAGUGAUGGUCAUGAAGGAUAAGAAGGAAACAUUAGUAAAGAUGGAAUCACUAUAUGUUCAACCAAGCGACCAGGGGAUGGAGGCCACCACUGCUGAUAUUGAUGGUGUCUGUGGAUCUUUCUGACACUUCCGCUUGCUGAGUCACUUUGCUGAGCAACUAUUUAUCUAUAGUUCAAAGAAAAGACAUUGUUGGUGUAAAUUGUGUUUUCCGAAAAAUGAAAAUUUCUUCAUCUUUCUUAUGUUCCAGUCUGCGCAGGUUGAGAGAGCUGCUGGCCUCCUGUUGCCGCUCCAUAAAAAUCCAUCCCCUGGACUGUAUGAGGGAAGACAGCGUCAUCGUGGAUGGGAGGAGAAUUAAACCGAGAACAAUCUAUGUUAGGCCAAAAGACCAGGGGAUGGAUGCCACCAGUGAUUCCACCAGUGGCAAGUGUUGAUCUGUUAGAGACCCAUGGGGUCUGUGAGGGAGAAAUCGGAGGAUAGAAUGAUGGUCAUGAAGGAUAAGAAGGAAACAUUAGUGAAGAUGAAAUCACUAUAUGUUCAACCAAGCGACCAGGGGAUGGAGGCCACCACUGCUGAUAUGGAUGGUGUCUGUGGAUCUUUCUGACACGUCCCCCUAUUUAUGGAUAGUUCAAAGAAAAGAGAUCGUUGGUGUAAAUUGUGUUUUCUGAAAAAUGAAAAUUUCUUCAUCUUGCCUAUUCGAGAGCUGCUGGCCUCCUGCUGCCGUUCCCUCAAAAUCCAUCCCCUUGUCUGUUUGGAGGAAGAAACUGUGAUGGUUGAUGGAAGAAAGAUCAAAGUAAGAACGAUUUAUGUAAGACUGAGAGAUCAGGGGAUGGAUACCACCAGUUCUUCCACCAGCGGCAGUGACAGCAGUGAGACUAGCAGCUCCAGCACAGCUCUCUCUCUCCCCUUCAAGACCCAGUUCCCCCGUCCCCCAAAAUACAAAAAUAUAUAUAAAUAAAUAGUAUAUAUUUCCAAAACACCAUGAGUCUCCAGUGUGGUCUCUCGUCACAAGGGAACAGACUUUUUAAAGAGGCUACAAAGAGUCGCUCAUAGAAGUAGAACAACAAUUGAAGAUAUAAGACAGUUAGUUACAGACUGGUUGCAAUACCUUCAAGUAAAUGAUGCGUUUAAAAUAGAUAAGAAAGAUGGAUUUAGUACAGAAAUCUCAAGGUUUCAAAAGGAAUUAUUGGAAAACAAUGUGAAGUUACUUUCUAAAUUGUAUAAAUUGUUGCUAGAGUGCAAAACUAAGGAUGAAGAAGUCAAAACAUUAAUGAUAAAAUGGGCACAAGACAUUGGGCAUAAUAUUCAAUUUUCAUCUUGGGAAAAGUUAUGGAGGGAAGACUUAAAAAUUACAGUGUGCUGUGCAUUGAAGGAAAAUUAUAUGAAAAUGAUGCAUCGGUGGUAAUUUACACCUGUAAAACUAGCAAAAUUGUAUAGAACUGCUUCAAAUGUUUGCUGGAAAUGUAAGAAGAAAGGCACGUUCUACCACAUGUGGUGGACGUGCAAGAUAAUUAAAACAUUCUGGGAAAUGAUUUACAAUGAGUUGAAAAAAAUGUUUAAAAUAACAUUCGUGGGGGGAAACAGAGGCUUUUUGUGUUAGGCAUUUUAGGUAUAGAGAUUCUGAGGGAGCAGAAAUGACUAUUCAUGUACAU
Molecule: long non-coding RNA, 1756 nt
Organism: Podarcis muralis (Common wall lizard)
Lineage: Eukaryota; Metazoa; Chordata; Lepidosauria; Squamata; Lacertidae
Source: RefSeq, a predicted model, not a curated record